UACGUAGGGGGCUAGCGUUGUCCGGAAUCAUUGGGCGUAAAGAGCGCGUAGGCGGCCCGGUAAGUCCGCUGUGAAAGUCGGGGGCUCAACCCUCGGAUGCCGGUGGAUACUGUCGAGCUUGAGUACGGAAGAGGCGAGUGGAAUUCCUGGUGUAGCGGUGAAAUGCGCAGAUAUCAGGAAGAACACCAAUGGCGAAGGCAGUUCUCUGGGACGGUACUGACGCUGAGACGCGAAAGCGUGGGGAGCGAACAGG
RNAcentral lists this ribosomal RNA (253 nucleotides) under uncultured bacterium. RNAcentral's name for it is "partial 16S ribosomal RNA". It matches the Rfam family "Bacterial small subunit ribosomal RNA", at positions 524 to 776 of the family's 1533-position model. The record is from RNAcentral.